This 502-nucleotide ribosomal RNA is filed under the name uncultured bacterium. Its description in RNAcentral is "partial 16S ribosomal RNA". It matches the Rfam family "Bacterial small subunit ribosomal RNA", at positions 899 to 1397 of the family's 1533-position model. The record is from RNAcentral.
ACUCAAAGGAAUAGACGGGGACCCGCACAAGCGGUGGAGCAUGUUGUUCAAUUCGAAGCAACGCGAAGAACCUUACCUACCCUUGACAUGUCCAGUAUGGGGCCGAGAGAUCGGCUUCUUCAGUUCGGCUGGCUGGAACACAGGUGCUGCAUGGCUGUCGUCAGCUCGUGUCGUGAGAUGUUGGGUUAAGUCCCGCAACGAGCGCAACCCUCAUCGUCUGUUGCCAUCAGGUUAAGCUGGGCACUCUGACGAGACUGCCGGUGACAAGCCGGAGGAAGGCGGGGAUGACGUCAAGUCAUCAUGGCCCUUACGGGUAGGGCCACAAACGUGCUACAAUGGCGGUGACAGUGGGCCGCGAGGCAGUGAUGCCAAGCCAAUCCCAAAAAGCCGUCUCAGUUCAGAUUGUACUCUGCAACUCGAGUGCAUGAAGCUGGAAUCGCUAGUAAUCGUGGAUCAGCACGCCACGGUGAAUACGUUCCCGGGUCUUGUACACACCGCCCGU